This 863-nucleotide ribosomal RNA is filed under the name Kaloula kokacii (Catanduanes narrow-mouthed frog). RNAcentral's name for it is "partial 16S ribosomal RNA". It matches the Rfam family "Bacterial large subunit ribosomal RNA", at positions 1570 to 2593 of the family's 2925-position model. Lineage: Eukaryota; Metazoa; Chordata; Amphibia; Anura; Microhylidae. The record is from RNAcentral.
CAGCUUAACCGUUAACUGUUACAAAUUCCCCUAACGCAUCAAAACCCAACCCCACAACUGAAUGAUUCUAUAACACACAUAGAAAACUGUAUGCUAGAACUAGUAAUAAGAAGAAGACCUUCUCCAAAAUAUACGUGUGAGCCAGAACGAACACCCCCCCGGCAUAUAACGCAACUGAACCAAUAGUAGCAACUACACAAGAAAACCCUACCAAAACACGCGUCAACCUUACACCAGCAUAUUCCAGGAAAGAUUAAAAGAAGGGGAAGGAACUCGGCAAAUCUUAACCCCGCCUGUUUACCAAAAACAUCGCCUUUUGAAAAAAUAUAAAAGGUCCAGCCUGCCCAGUGACCAGAUUAAACGGCCGCGGUACCCUAACCGUGCAAAGGUAGCACAAUCACUUGUUCUUUAAAUAAGGACUAGUAUGAAUGGCAUCACGAGGGUUAAACUGUCUCCCCCUUCCAAUCAAUGAAACUGACCCCCCCGUGAAGAGGCGGGGAUAAUAAUAUAAGACGAGAAGACCCCAUGGAGCUUAAAACUUAACACCAACUGCCUAACUACACCCCACUUCAAACCGGGCAGACUCUGGUUUCUAGUUUUCGGUUGGGGCGACCGCGGAGUAAAACAAAACCUCCACGAUGAAUGUACCAACUUUCCUAAUCACAGAGCAACAGCUCGAAGAAUCAAAAAAUUGACACACUUGACCCAAUUAAUUUUGAUCAACGAACCAAGUUACCCUGGGGAUAACAGCGCAAUCCACUUCAAGAGCCCCUAUCGACAAGUGGGUUUACGACCUCGAUGUUGGAUCAGGGUAUCCCAGUGGUGCAACCGCUACUAACGGUUCGUUUGUUCAACGAUUAAAA